Molecule: transfer RNA, 73 nt
Filed under: Sphaerodactylus townsendi
Lineage: Eukaryota; Metazoa; Chordata; Lepidosauria; Squamata; Sphaerodactylidae
Description: tRNA-Ala
Rfam family: tRNA
About the family: Transfer RNA (tRNA) molecules are approximately 80 nucleotides in length. Their secondary structure includes four short double-helical elements and three loops (D, anti-codon, and T loops).
Source: RNAcentral
GGGGGUGUGGCUCAAUGGUAGAGCAUCUGCUUGGCAUGCAGAAGGUCCCAGGUUCUAUUCCCCAUCAUCUCCA